UAAUCAUCAUCAUGAUGAUGAUGAUGAUGAUGAUGGUAAUAAUUGCUAUAUUAUUACUAUCAUUAGCAUUAUCGUCGUUUGCGACA
This 86-nucleotide microRNA precursor is filed under the name Bigelowiella natans CCMP2755. RNAcentral describes it as "miRNA EPrBNAG00000013316". The record is from RNAcentral. Lineage: Eukaryota; Cercozoa; Chlorarachniophyceae.